RNAcentral lists this long non-coding RNA (1952 nucleotides) under Homo sapiens (human). Its description in RNAcentral is "Pvt1 oncogene, transcript variant 36 (PVT1)". The stretch from base 34 to 211 matches the Rfam family "Pvt1 oncogene conserved region 1". The record is from RNAcentral. Lineage: Eukaryota; Metazoa; Chordata; Mammalia; Primates; Hominidae.
CCCGCGCUCCUCCGGGCAGAGCGCGUGUGGCGGCCGAGCACAUGGGCCCGCGGGCCGGGCGGGCUCGGGGCGGCCGGGACGAGGAGGGGCGACGACGAGCUGCGAGCAAAGAUGUGCCCCGGGACCCCCGGCACCUUCCAGUGGAUUUCCUUGCGGAAAGGAUGUUGGCGGUCCCUGUGACCUGUGGAGACACGGCCAGAUCUGCCCUCCAGCCUGAUCUUUUGGCCAGAAGGAGAUUAAAAAGAUGCCCCUCAAGAUGGCUGUGCCUGUCAGCUGCAUGGAGCUUCGUUCAAGUAUUUUCUGAGCCUGAUGGAUUUACAGUGAUCUUCAGUGGUCUGGGGAAUAACGCUGGUGGAACCAUGCACUGGAAUGACACACGCCCGGCACAUUUCAGGAUACUAAAAGUGGUUUUAAGGGAGGCUGUGGCUGAAUGCCUCAUGGAUUCUUACAGCUUGGAUGUCCAUGGGGGACGAAGGACUGCAGCUGGCUGAGAGGGUUGAGAUCUCUGUUUACUUAGAUCUCUGCCAACUUCCUUUGGGUCUCCCUAUGGAAUGUAAGACCCCGACUCUUCCUGGUGAAGCAUCUGAUGCACGUUCCAUCCGGCGCUCAGCUGGGCUUGAGCUGACCAUACUCCCUGGAGCCUUCUCCCGAGGUGCGCGGGUGACCUUGGCACAUACAGCCAUCAUGAUGGUACUUUAAGUGGAGGCUGAAUCAUCUCCCCUUUGAGCUGCUUGGCACGUGGCUCCCUUGGUGUUCCCCUUUUACUGCCAGGACACUGAGAUUUGGAGAGAAUCCUGUUACACCUGGGAUUUAGGCACUUUCAAUCUGAAAAAAUACAUAUCCUUUCAGCACUCUGGACGGACUUGAGAACUGUCCUUACGUGACCUAAAGCUGGAGUAUUUUGAGAUUGGAGAAUUAAGAAGGAAGUCACUGUGCAUAGCCAUCCCCUAAGAAGAGGGCAUUCCUGCUCUUCCUUCUCCAUGGCUAGAGGAUCUACAUGAACUAUUUAGAUUUUUUCUACCUGGGAGAUUUAACUCCUCUCUCCUAUUUAUUUAUUUAUAUAUCAGCAUGGACUUGCAGGCCAACAGAGAUUUUGAGAAACACAUUGAAGGAUCUGUUAACACUUGAUAUACCCAAUAAAAGCAGUGGUUGUGCCAGUGCUGAUCUGUCUUGAUGUGAAUGUGAACAAUGGGAACCUGAGCUGAGCAGUUAAUGCUAGGGUGACAGAAACUGGACCUCUCCCAAGACAUGUGACAGAGUAAUACAGCAGCCAACUUCUUCGCCAAAUUAAAGUUUUACAAGAUUUAACCUGUCAUCAAGACCUGGGAUUUUGGUGAGCCAGUCUUGGUGCUCUGUGUUCACCUGGUUCAUCUGAGGAGCUGCAUCUACCCUGCCCAUGCCAUAGAUCCUGCCCUGUUUGCUUCUCCUGUUGCUGCUAGUGGACAUGAGGUCACCCGAUAUAGAAUCACACACCUGGGAGAUGGCACCAGCCAGUGAGGCUCAAAUUUGAACCACACACAAAUCUCCAGGGGUACUUGAAGGACAGAAUAACGGGCUCCCAGAUUCACAAGCCCCACCAAGAGGAUCACCCCAGGAACGCUUGGAGGCUGAGGAGUUCACUGAGGCUACUGCAUCUUGAGACUCAGGAUGAAGACCCAGCUUGGGGCUGUCAAAGGUUUUUUGCAUGUCUGACACCCAUGACUCCACCUGGACCUUAUGGCUCCACCCAGAAGCAAUUCAGCCCAACAGGAGGACAGCUUCAACCCAUUACGAUUUCAUCUCUGCCCCAACCACUCAGCAGCAAGCACCUGUUACCUGUCCACCCCCACCCCUUCCCCCAAACUGCCUUUGAAAAAUCCCUAACCUAUGAGCUUUGAAUAAGAUGAGUACGAACUUCAUCGCCCACGUGGCGUGGCCGGCCUCGUGUCUAUUAAAUUCUUUUUCUACUACAA